AUUGGGCUGUGCCCGAAGCCGCCGUGUUCCGGCUGGCACCAACCCUAGCUACUUUCCCCUUUGCAAUUCCUCUGAAAUCACAUCCUAAUUGAAACAUAUUCAUGUGUUUCUCGUAAUAGAUGCUUACAAUUCUCGACAGUACUGGCUAGGUCCUGUCACACACCGAGCCGAACCGAUACGAGCUGGGUAAAAUCCCACCCACCGCCCAGCUCCCACUAGCGAAUGGCCUCCGCCCCUGCUUUCAGCGCGCCGCCGCCGGCCUACCGCCACACGCGCCGCCGCCGGCCUCCCGCAAGACUCGCCGCCGCCGGCCCCCGCUUCCACCCGCCAUCAGCCACCUUAAAGGGCCACCCAGUCACCUUCACCGCCGCCACAAGCGACGCGCCUCCUCCCAUGGAUGCGGUCGCCGCCCUGCGCCUCCUGCUGGCGACGAGCCCAGUCCUCCUUCCUUCUUCCAGCGACGCGCCGUUCAACGCCACCACCACUGCCAGUUCAACGCUGCCCCGACAAAUCCUGUGCGUCAACCCCCUGGCUGACUUUGCUUCUCUCAACUUCAAAAAGAGGUUCCGUUCAGAAGCUUGAACAAGAAAAAGAGGUUCAUUCAGAACUUGCGUGUGGUGUCUGUACUGCUGCUAACCUUGUUUUGCUUCUUUACAAAGCCUCUAGGAAUAUUAGUACUGAAUUGUUUAUGUCAGUUCCAGCCGGCAAGUGGCCCUGCACAACAACAUGCAGCAGUUCGACAGGGGAGUGUGGGUCAGUACCACGCCGACAAGUCAGGCAGACGUCCUUUGCAUCACGAACUAGUGCAGUUCGAUCUUGCGCAAGCGGGAAAUUCCCUGAUGCCGAGUGUGUCAGUACCACCCUACACAGCAGCAAUCAUUGUCUUCUUGCAGCUUCCAUUGAACAAUUAAUCCAAGGAAUUUUGGGUGGAGCAACAUUUGUCGGUCUUAGGAAUCUCGAUCAUUAUUCACCACCAGCCAUGGUGAUGGUCAUUGCUGCUCUUUCCAUCGCAUGGGAGCCGGUUGUUGCUGCCCUUCAAUAUCUCUAUAUCUGAACUAUUGUUGCUUGCUAUCUCACCCCUCUCAAAACUUUUUGAUGGUUCGUGUACAGAGAAAUACCUUUUUUGUGUUUCUUUUUUAAGUCAUUAUAUGCUCUCGAAAUGUUUAUGUUUAUGCCUCAAAAGAGAGAGAGAGAGAGAGAGAGAGAGAGAGAGAGAGAGAGAGAGAGAGAGAGAGAGAAAACCAGUACGUGUGUCUCACUCUGUUACAUAACAUUUUAAUUAUCUUUGCCACAAAGCUUCAUUUAUCCAGAGAAGUUCAAAGUAAAGAUUAGUUCACACUUUAGGUUUUUCUCCUUUGGUCUAUUUGUUCAGUUCUGAAUCCUUCGGUUUUGGUUGCAGAGAAAGUUCAAAGUUCAUGCUCCUUUGUUUUUUGUUAAGUCAGGCAGAGUCAGGUCUUGCUCGGGCAUCAUCUCGUCUCGUCCGUUCAGCAAAUGCCUCCAGAUAAGUUUACACUUGUGGUUAUUCUCGUUGGUUUAAUUCUUCAGUCCACACUCCUUGGGUUUUUGUUCUAGAGAAGUUAAAGAAAACCUGUAGAAGUUUGUGGUAAGUUAUGUUUCAUUUGAAGCAGGAACAUCAACUGCCACACCGUUGGUGUUUUGUAUAAUUCGUACCAAUUGAUUCAUAUGUUUGAUUCUAACCCUUUAAAUUUUACUGGACUACGCAGCCCAAGGACAUGGUGUUGAAGCUGUCGGGCGUGCAGAGGCAGGCGGUGCUGAAGCACGGGGGCUUGUUGCUGCCAAGGGGCCGAACGACGCCCCUGUACUAGAGCAGGUAGUACUGCCUGGGCAUGUCCACCUGCGACGUACCUGGCCACGGUGGCGGCACAACGGCGUCGAGCACGAGCUGCACGCAGCGCUUGCCCAUGCAACCCGCCGCCUGCUAGCCCCGCAUCCUGCCGGCGGUCGUCUCCACAUCAGUUCGAUUUGGGCACUUGGGGCAGCGGCUUAAAAGUUGACUGAUGCCAUGAUUUGGCAUUUGCUCUAUGAAUAGUGAAAUAGUGUUGUGUAUUCUUAUCAGUUCAUGAUUGCCAUCAUGAUACUUGUAUUGGGGGCUAGAGCUCAUGUAUUACUCCCAGGUGUUUGCUUAAAUGCUUUCCAACAAAAAGCUCCAGAAAAGUUCAUAGUUUGUUUUCAGAAAAGCUCCAUGGCAUUUCCUCGGCUGCAGCAUGUACAUGCAUCCCUACAAAAAAAAUGAGCCAAAUCCCGGUGUGCCCAGCCGCUGCUCGUGAACCCCGCCUCCAUCAGCCCCACUUCAACGGAGCCGUCAGUUCGCAGGAGUAGGGGUAGCAGUCCUUCUGCAGGGCCCAAACCCACUAUCGUGCAAGAAAAAGAAAGCAAAGCCCCAACCAUCAGCUGCUCAAUCAUCAGGGUCUGAUGGCCCAUGGAGAGGCGAAGCGAAAGACGGUUAGGAAGCGCAAGAGAAUUGGCAAAGACAGCAAGUCCAUCUGUAUUUAAUAGCAAGUCCAUGUACUACUACAUGAGAAGUACUGCUAUUCCCUCACUGGAUUUGCAGGCUCACGACCAUCCUCUAACACCCCGUCAGUGCCACCGAUUUAAAGGAGCUCCGUGAGCGUGUACUUCUCCUGUUCGACCUCGACGCUUGUGGCAGUCCCACAAGGACGAGUAUGGUCUACGAUCGAGCAGUUGGUUCCCAAGCGAGUUCUUGGCUGAAGGUGGGCUUCCACGAUGAGGUGUGGAACGCAAUGUACAUGGAGAUCCUGAUGGAGUACGAUGAUGGCGAUGUGGCGCAGGUGGACCUCAUGGAGUUUGGCUGGGCUGGCGGCGGUCGGCGGUGGACGCGGGUGCAUGAGUUGUGGGGCUCCAUCUGCCGCUCGACCACCACUUACUCCCACUCUGUUCACUGGUUUUGUUUUCAUUGUCACGCCUGUUCCUCGUCGACCUGCAGCAGGAGACACGAGAUCACCCCGGCACUGCUGGUCACAUGAAGGUCGCCAAAAAUGCACGAGAGAGGUUUGGACGGACGCUGAUCACUAGCCCACUAUGACGCCGCCGAUCACUAGCACGAAGGACACCAGCAGGUUGAGGAUGAAGUACAUGACGCAGACAAUGAGGACGACCGAAACAUGGAAUCCGUACACAUAGCACCAACUGCAAAUUCAAAAUUUCUGUCUGAUGAUUUGAUUGCUACUUCUUAAAGAAAGUGUACAUAACAGUUAGAUGUUUCUGCAAGAAAGGAAAAUUUGUAUGAAUCAAAAACAAUGAUCAGUAUGAAUCAAAAACAAUGAUCAGUUCGAUAGUGCUCUCUCCUGCCUAUUUUGGUUGAUGCCACGAAUAGUGAAAA
This 3361-nucleotide ribosomal RNA is filed under the name Triticum aestivum (bread wheat). RNAcentral's name for it is "partial small subunit ribosomal RNA". Lineage: Eukaryota; Viridiplantae; Streptophyta; Magnoliopsida; Poales; Poaceae. The record is from RNAcentral.